UCCAGUGCACAGUAGUUCUUCAGUAUGUAUGUAUGUAUUUAUUUUUUUAGGGAAUUAACAAACAGACUUGAAACAAUCAGCAAUCUGAGGUCUCUGGGCCCCUCAGCUCAGCUCAUCUGGAUGUCGCUCCUUAAGCCAGCCUGGAUGAAGGGCUUACGCUGGAAAAUGAGAGGAAACCUGGCUGCUGUCUUCAGUAGCAUCUUAGCAGGAGCUGUACCUUAUCUGGGGCCCCAGGAAAAGUUCCACGGAAGCAAGAUUCCUGUGGGUGCGAUUCACCAGAGCUGCACCCGGGAGAGAUGUAAGCAGCCAUUCCGUGUCUGGAGCAUCUCUGAUCCUGGCGGGAUGAAUGGCAGAGCCCUGGCGAAGAGGUGAAGAGGCGGCUCUUGUGGGUAGUGCCAGGAUCGCCCAGCCCUGCUCUGUGUCCUCAGGGGCUGCGGGAGUCCGUGCAGCCCCAGCAUCCUGAUUCUUUCCCCAUACAGGCAUAGGUUAUGGGUUGUUCUGACGUGUCUGGACAUCACUCCUGUGGCUGUUAAGUCCUCCCCAGCUGUUCCGAUGAACGACUGGCUUCCAGAAACGCUCCUGCCCUCUGUGCCC
Bubalus bubalis (water buffalo) is the source of this 594-nucleotide long non-coding RNA. RefSeq lists it as uncharacterized. The record is from RefSeq and is a predicted model, not a curated record. The transcript is spliced from 3 exons. Lineage: Eukaryota; Metazoa; Chordata; Mammalia; Artiodactyla; Bovidae.